This 253-nucleotide ribosomal RNA is filed under the name uncultured bacterium. Its description in RNAcentral is "partial 16S ribosomal RNA". It matches the Rfam family "Bacterial small subunit ribosomal RNA", at positions 524 to 776 of the family's 1533-position model. The record is from RNAcentral.
UACAGAGGGUGCUAGCGUUGUCCGGAUUUAUUGGGCGUAAAGAGCGUGUAGGCGGCCAAGCAGGUCAGCUGUGAAAACUCGAGGCUCAACCUCGAGACGCCGAUGGAAACCGUCUGGCUAGAGUCCGGAAGAGGAGAGUGGAAUUCCCGGUGUAGCGGUGAAAUGCGCAGAUAUCGGGAAGAACACCCGUGGCUAAGGCGGCUCUCUAGUACGGUACUGACGCUGAGACGCGAAAGCGUGGGGAGCGAACAGG